This 446-nucleotide ribosomal RNA is filed under the name uncultured bacterium. RNAcentral's name for it is "partial 16S ribosomal RNA". It matches the Rfam family "Bacterial small subunit ribosomal RNA", at positions 338 to 795 of the family's 1533-position model. The record is from RNAcentral.
CCUACGGGUGGCAGCAGUCGAGAAUCAUUCACAAUGGGGGAAACCCUGAUGGUGCGACGCCGCGUGGGGGAAUGAAGGUCUUCGGAUUGUAAACCCCUGUCAUGUGGGAGCAAACUAAAAAGAUAGUACCACAAGAGGAAGAGACGGCUAACUCUGUGCCAGCAGCCGCGGUCAUACAGAGGUCUCAAGCGUGGUUCGGAAUCACUGGGCGUAAAGCGUGCGUAGGCUGUUUCGUAAGUCGUGUGUGAAAGGCGCGGGCUCAACCCGCGGACGGCACAUGUUACUGCGAGACUAGAGUAAUGGAGGGGGAACCGGAAUUCUCGGUGUAGCAGUGAAAUGCGUAGAUAUCGAGAGGAACACUCGUGGCGAAGGCGGGUUCCUGGACAUUAACUGACGCUGAGGCACGAAGGCCAGGGGAGCGAAAGGGAUUAGAUACCCUGGUAGUC